RNAcentral lists this ribosomal RNA (253 nucleotides) under uncultured bacterium. RNAcentral describes it as "partial 16S ribosomal RNA". It matches the Rfam family "Bacterial small subunit ribosomal RNA", at positions 524 to 776 of the family's 1533-position model. The record is from RNAcentral.
AACGUAGGAGACAAACGUUAUCCGGAGUUACUGGGCGUAAAGGGCGCGUAGGCGGGAUGGCAAGUCGGUCGUGAAAUCCUUCGGCUCAACCGAAGAACGUCGGCCGAUACUGCCGUUCUUGAGGGAUGCAGAGGAGAUUGGAAUUCCCGGUGUAGCGGUGAAAUGUGUAGAGAUCGGGAGGAACACCGGUGGCGAAGGCGGGUCUCUGGGCAUCUCCUGACGCUGAGGCGCGAAAGCGUGGGGAGCAAACGGG